Molecule: unclassified non-coding RNA, 658 nt
Filed under: Athalia rosae (coleseed sawfly)
Lineage: Eukaryota; Metazoa; Arthropoda; Insecta; Hymenoptera; Athaliidae
Description: misc RNA ENSAEAG00005006895.1
Source: RNAcentral
GUAUAUUAGUUCUGCGCAAUAAAAUUAGAGUGCAAAUGCUAUCUCUCGACUGAGGUGUCAAUAUUCAUUUUAAUUUGUACAAUUAAGAAGGAAAUAAUAAUUUACCAAUUUUGUUAUCCCCUCUAUGGUCAACCGGUGUCGUAUUGCUACUAUCUCUGUCACGGUCACGCUCUCUUGGUUGUACAAUGCAUUUUCCACACGUUCGUGGGGGAGCAGAUGGAACGAUGUUACAAGCUCUGCCAUAGGUCAGAUAUUCCAAAAAAUAUACUCACCAGGAUUUCUACAAUGGAUGCAAACUGCAACAGUUUCAUUUCGAAUUCUCUCGAUAGUGAGAGUCGAAGGAAGACCAGGUAUGUGACCACCCUUGGCACUAGGUCCCUGAGUUGAACCAUCUUCUGAUUUAAUUUUUCCCGGAAAUACUUUGCUCUCAGGAUUGUUUCUGAGUAUAUUUGGUCUUGUUGACGACUUCUGGGUGGGAAUUAGAGAUUUUAUAGGAAUUCUAGACGGUGUGGUUGAUGGCUUAGAUCCAGAAACCUUAUUUGGAGGAGGUGAAGGUCCGUUUAAACGGGCCGUAGUUUGUCGUGUUUGCGGCGCUGUUCCGUUGGAUUGCAAAUACGAAUGUUUUUUUCUUUUCUACGGGGAGAAAGUAUAUUUCAAG